AUUGAACGCUGGCGGCAUGCUUUACACAUGCAAGUCGAGCGGCAGCGCGGGGGCAACCCUGGCGGCGAGCGGCGAACGGGUGAGGAAUACAUCGGAACGUGCCUGAGAGUGGGGGAUAACGCCGCGAAAGCGGCGCUAAUACCGCAUAUUCUCUGAGGAGGAAAGUGGGGGACCGCAAGGCCUCACGCUCACGGAGCGGCCGAUGUCGGAUUAGCUAGUUGGUGGGGUAAAGGCUUACCAAGGCGACGAUCCGUAGCUGGUCUGAGAGGAUGAUCCGCCACACUGGAACUGAGACACGGUCCAGACUCCUACGGGAGGCAGCAGUGGGAAUUUUGGACAAUGGGCGCAAGCCUGAUCCAGCCAUGCCGCGUGAGUGAAGAAGGCCUCGGUUGUAAGAC
RNAcentral lists this ribosomal RNA (398 nucleotides) under uncultured bacterium. RNAcentral describes it as "bacterial SSU rRNA". It matches the Rfam family "Bacterial small subunit ribosomal RNA", at positions 29 to 431 of the family's 1533-position model. The record is from RNAcentral.